Molecule: ribosomal RNA, 253 nt
Filed under: uncultured bacterium
Lineage: Bacteria
Description: partial 16S ribosomal RNA
Rfam family: Bacterial small subunit ribosomal RNA
Source: RNAcentral
UACGGAGGGUGCAAGCGUUGUCCGGAUUUAUUGGGCUUAAAGGGUGCGUAGGCGGCUUAUUAAGUCAGGGGUGAAAGACUAUUGCUUAACAAUGGCAGUGCCUUUGAUACUGAUAGGCUUGAGUACAGUUGAGGCAGAUGGAACGGGUGGUGUAGCGGUGAAAUGCAUAGAUACCAUCCAGAACACCGAUUGCGAAGGCAGUCUGCUAAACUGUAACUGACGCUGAGGCACGAAAGCGUGGGGAUCGAACAGG